UACGUAGGGUGCGAGCGUUGUCCGGAAUUACUGGGCGUAAAGAGCUCGUAGGUGGUUUGUCGCGUUGUCCGUGAAAACUCACAACUCAAUUGUGGGCGUGCGGGCGAUACGGGCAGACUGGAGUACUGCAGGGGAGACUGGAAUUCCUGGUGUAGCGGUGGAAUGCGUAGAUAUCGGGAGGAACACCAGUGGCGAAGGCGGCUCUCUAGUACGGUACUGACGCUGAGACGCGAAAGCGUGGGGAGCGAACAGG
This 253-nucleotide ribosomal RNA is filed under the name uncultured bacterium. RNAcentral's name for it is "partial 16S ribosomal RNA". It matches the Rfam family "Bacterial small subunit ribosomal RNA", at positions 524 to 776 of the family's 1533-position model. The record is from RNAcentral.